Molecule: long non-coding RNA, 2092 nt
Filed under: Homo sapiens (human)
Lineage: Eukaryota; Metazoa; Chordata; Mammalia; Primates; Hominidae
Description: HSALNT0258939
Source: RNAcentral
GGAGGAAGUUCUCAGUAACAUGCAAGGCGUGCCCUACCGCCAUGAUUUGGAAAGUUUCACCAGUCUCUGCUUUGAGAAGACUUGAUCUGUCCCUGUGAUUUGGUCACAAUUGCCUUUGGACUGAGACACCACCAAAGGACAAUGGAUGGCCUGCACCCCCAGGAGCAGUCACCCGGGGUGCCUGUCUGGGAUGCUUUUUGGAACCCAUCCACCAUCUGAGAGAUAAUAAGAAGCUUCUCUAGGACUUGUGAUUUUGGUUUCAGCAGCUCCUUCCACGUUUGAGAAGAGUCUUCUCAUUUCUUACUCAUAGAACAUCCCAUCAGACAUUUCUCCUGAUCCACAUAGUAAUUCAGGGAUCCAGGCUUCUUCCAUAAGGUGAUUCAACCAUCUUCUAUGGGCUCAGAGUCUUUUGAAUCCAGGCAGAAGAGAGAAUAAGGAACUCGCACCUGCUUCUUGAAAGUCUUCACCCUAAAGUGACAUACAUCACUUCUGCUCUCAGUCCAUUGAACAUAACUUGUCUUAUGGCUUCAACUAGCUGCAAGGGCCUCUGGGAAAUGUAGUCCUGGUCUAGGCAGUCAAUAAACAUCCUGCUGGCUCUGCCACAGAAGGCCUUUCUAAGAUGUUCUUUGAGCUGAGACGUGAGAGCCAAAGUGUGAGAGCUACUUGAAAACUGUGAAAAUGGAGUUCCCAAAGUGGGAACAGCAAGUGGAAAGACCCUGAUGCUGGAAUGUGCUCAAAGGAACAGUAAGAAAUGAGCUUCUGGCUGGGCGUGAUGGCUCAUGCCUGUAAUCCCAGCACUUUGGGAGGCUGAGGCAGGUGGAUCACCUGAGGUUAGGAGUUUGAGACUAGCCUGACCAACAUGGAGAAACCCCGUCUCUACUAAAAAUACAAAAAAAUCAGCCGGGUGUGGUGGUGCAUGCCUGUAAUCUCAGCUACUUGGGAGGCUGGGGCAGGAGAAUCGCUUGAACCCAGGGGGCAGAGGUUGUUGUGAGCUGAGAUCGUGCCAUUGCACUCCAGCCUGGGCAACAAAAGUGAAACUCCGUCUCAAAAAAAAAAAAAAAAAGAACUUUUAUUUUGUGAGCUACUGAAAUGGUGGGGUUUAUUUGUUAUAGCAGCUAGCAUGACUCUAAAUAAUAUACCUUGUAGACAUCAUUGCCCACUAGCUCAGUGUAUCUCAAACUACUUGUAACUAUGGAGAAGGAUCAUUUGUUUGAUGUUUCCAACCUGUCAUGGACCAAUCCUUUUGGUCUCUACCCUGUUCAACAAGAAAAUCCAUUGAUCCUAUACUUGGAUGUCAUGGAUAUGUCAAAUUGCUGUGUUUCUAAACACUUGCUGGCAAUUUCCGUACUUAUCUGGUGGCACACCAUUGCAGACACCAGCUCGGUUGGGGAGACCCUAACCCACUGGUGCUAGAGGAAUUAAACACACACACACAGAAAUAUAGAGGUGUGAAGUGGGAAAUCAGGGGUCUCACAGCCUUCAGAGCUGAGAGCCCCGAACAGAGAUUUACCCACAUAUUUAGUAACAGCAAACCAGUCAUUAGCAUUGUUUCUAUAGAUAUUAAAUUAAAAGUAUCCCUUAUGGGAAACGAAGGGAUGGGCCGAAUUAAAGGAAUAGGUUGGGCUAGUUAACUGCAGCAGGAACACGUCCUUAAGACACACAUCGCUCAUGCUAUUGUUUGUGGCUUAAGAAUGCCUUUAAGUGGUUUUCCACUCUGGGCGGGCCAGGUGUUCCUUGCCCUCAUUCCCGUAAACCCACAACCUUCCAGCUUGGGCGUUAGGGCCAUUAUGAACAUGUCACAGUGCUGUGGAGAUUUUGUUUGUGGCCAGUCUUGGGGUCAGUUUAUGGCCAUAUUUUGGGGGGCUUGCUCCCAACACCAUAAUAGUUGCUGGACCAGUCCUGGCACCACUUUAGCUUCUUAUUCUGUUUUAUUUUUCUCUAUAGCAUUUACCAUUCCCUGUAAUUAUCUUGUUUAUUUUUGGGUAUACUUGUUUAUAGUUUUCUUUCCCACUAGAAUGUAAGCUCCAUCAGAGAAGAAGUUGGCCUUACUUCUCUUGCUCCGUUGUGUUCCUCGUUCCCAAGACAAUGCCUG